UGGUGCAAUCUCAGCUCACUGCAACCUCUGCCUUCUGGGUUCAAGUGAUUCUCCUGCCUCAGACUCCCAAGUAGCUAGGAUUACAGAUCAUCUGAAUAUCCAGGCACAACCCAGGCAUACUAGACCUUGAUCACACUGGAAGUGCGUGACCAUGGGGAUGUGGUGUGUAAAGCAAGAAAACAUAGGGACAGAAAUACAACACUGGAGAGAUCACUUGAUGUCAUUUCUGAUGGCUUUUAUCCAUCCUGCCCAAAUAAAAUAAACAAAUUACCCUGGUACUUUA
This 283-nucleotide long non-coding RNA is filed under the name Pan troglodytes (chimpanzee). Its description in RNAcentral is "lincRNA". Lineage: Eukaryota; Metazoa; Chordata; Mammalia; Primates; Hominidae. The record is from RNAcentral.